This 1698-nucleotide long non-coding RNA is filed under the name Homo sapiens (human). RNAcentral describes it as "long independently transcribed non-coding RNA 1126 (LINC01126)". The record is from RNAcentral. Lineage: Eukaryota; Metazoa; Chordata; Mammalia; Primates; Hominidae.
CGGCCGCCGCGGCAGUCUUGCCGGUGGAGCCCGGGCUCGUUUCUCCGCCCCCUCCCCGCCCAGGCUCAGUAAACAGGGCUUGAGCGCCGGGGCCUGCCGGGCAGGGCUGAGUGUCUGAGGACAAGGCGCUGGCUUUGCUAAUCACAUCACAAGACCUUGAGCCAGGGCCAAAGGCGCGGAGUGGCGCGGGACGUCCCGGGCGGGGGAGCUGACUCUGAGGACAGGAGGAAAGGCCGGGAGAGCCGUGCGGGCUUGAAGGCGACUUAGCGCCACCUUUCCGUCUGCUGGUCGGGCCGGCCUUCCCCAGCCCUCUGGGGCUGGGGGUGCAGCUGCCUGCCGAGGCUCCCCGCCCGGCACAGCCUGGGCCUGUUGCGUCCUCCCAGCCUCUUCCCUCCCCGGCAGUGGGGGCGCCGCGCCCAGCCUUUGCUCGAUGAGGGCUGCAGGAUCCGGCUGAGACCAACCCGCGGCGCAGGUGGGGCUGCACAGACGCUGAUGGUGGGCGCGCCACCCUCUGUUUUCCCUCACUCGCCAGCCCCGCACCCCAACAGCUUGCGCUGGAAAAUGCGCUUUGCCAGCGGGCGCCCCGCCUUCGUCCGGGUACGGAGGGGACACUCCCAUCUAGCGCCCAGUGAGGCUAAAGCCGCUGACAGCCCCACUAGGAACGAUCUGGAGUCUGGUCUAGGGCACUUCUCCCUCCGCGUUCAUACAGGUUGCCACAAAAAGCUUGGGCCUGAAGCUCGAAGGCCCCGGACCCGCUGGGGAAAGAACUAGGCCUGCCACUCAGGGAUUCGAGUCCCUGGAGUGUAUCCUGCAUUUCCCACUACUGUACUCCCCUCAUGGCCCAGGGAGCCAGAGUCCAGGGUAAGGAUCAGGAAUGCUGGGCUGGAGUUCAGGUCCUGCCCCAGAGAAAUCAUGUGGUCUUAGGCAAAUCACAUCAUCUCUUUGGUACUUGGGUUUCCUUGUUAAACGAAGAUAAUAUUCUUGCUUUAUUCAUCUCUCACCUUUGGCAAGGUGCAAAUGAUAUCUGUGAAGGUGUUUAAAAGACAAGCAAGAACUAAACCAUCUUUAUGUAUUAAACCAAAUUGACAAAAGCGUAAGGGUGGAGAAAGCCUGGCUUCUGAACUGUGGCCAGAUGGACAGAGAGCCACAGAAUCAUGAGUGCAGAGCUGUGGGGGCACCCAAGUCCUGGACCCUAGGACUCACAGCCAAGAGCAGGUGACCUCAGAGGGACCAGUUUCACUUUUAGCACCUACCCUACACUGACCCCUUGACAUACCUGGGCAACUGUGGUCUGGUUUGUUCUUUGGUGAGAUGACCCCAAACAUCUCACCAAACUGUGAAACAGCCACUUCCCUAGGCACUCCUAUUAGGUUAGUAACAAGAUUUCAGAUACAGAACCAGUGGAAACAUCUGUUUGAAACAACGUCCAAAUCUGGGGUGAGUCCCAGUCAACAGCUGUGAGAACACCCACUUUGCAGAUUAGGAUUCUGGAGAUAACAUGUGGACAUGUUACGGGACAUGCUUGUGUACAGAGUACCUGCUAGUAUAAAAUGUCUAAUGUAGCUGCUUUUAUUUCAUUUUAAAUGGAGAAAAAAAGAAGUGCUGGCCAUUUCCAAUGAGCUGGGCUUUGUUGGGCCAGUUUCAUAAAAAAAAAAAAAAAAAAAAAAAAAAAAAAAAAAAAAAAAAAAAAAAAAAAAA